AGUGUCAAGUGCCAAGUGAUGGACUUAGCAUCGCCAAAUGUUUGCUCAACAUCACUGCGGCGACACGCCCACCAGAGGAGCCAGAGCCCACAGAAGGUGGAUGGAUUGUUGUCGUUGGAUCAGUGGCAGCAGCUCUAGUAGUUCUAGCUUCUCUUGUUGCUGUAGCAGCAUUCGUUUGUCAAGCCCAUUGUCUUGGAAAAAAACAAAGUCCAGACCAGCAGGAAACUGACACCGCUGAGAGGUCUGUCCUGCAGAAUGGCAAAGAAACUACCUAUGAACUCCAGACUGUUGAGGGACAAUCCCCCACUCCAGAAUGCGGGGUUUAUUGACCACAAGAUCAUUAUCUCCAGGGGCACUAAUGUCAGCCAAAUCAGUGACAGCUGGUUGCCAAGUAUUUUCUCCAGGUCAAAAACUCUCACUUUCCGUUAACUCGGGGUUAACAAACUUGGGGUUACUCUUUAAAGCUGAAUCUGUGAAAUACUUUUCCCAUUUUGUCAGUCAGUCACUUAGAGUUUUUACUGAAGGAGGAUUUGUUGGUUAUUCAUGUGGCAAAUGAGUCCACAACAGGGUCAAAUUGGACCUAGAAAACCUCCAAAAAAUAGGUGCCAAAAGUCAUCGUUCAGGCUUCAGUAAGGA
Molecule: long non-coding RNA, 636 nt
Organism: Myripristis murdjan (pinecone soldierfish)
Lineage: Eukaryota; Metazoa; Chordata; Actinopteri; Holocentriformes; Holocentridae
Exons: 3
Source: RefSeq, a predicted model, not a curated record